UGGGGAAUCUUGGACAAUGGGGGCAACCCUGAUCCAGCGACGCCGCGUGAGUGAAGAAGGCCCUAGGGUUGUAAAACUCUUUCAGCGGGGAAGAUAAUGACGGUACCCGCAGAAGAAGCCCCGGCUAACUCCGUGCCAGCAGCCGCGGUAAUACGGAGGGGGCUAGCGUUGUUCGAAAUUACUGGGCGUAAAGCGCACGUAGGCGGUUCAGACAGUCAGGCGUGAAAGCCCCGGGCUUAACCUGGGAACUGCGCUUGAUACUACUGAGCUAGAGUCCGGGAGAGGGUAGUGGAAUUCCCAGUGUAGAGGUGAAAUUCGUAGAUAUUGGGAAGAACACCAGUGGCGAAGGCGGCUACCUGGACCGGUACUGACGCUGAGGUGCGAAAGCGUGGGGAGCAAACAGGAUUAGAUACCCCUGUAGUCC
RNAcentral lists this ribosomal RNA (424 nucleotides) under uncultured prokaryote. RNAcentral describes it as "bacterial SSU rRNA". It matches the Rfam family "Bacterial small subunit ribosomal RNA", at positions 355 to 796 of the family's 1533-position model. The record is from RNAcentral.